GUACUUAGGCAGUCAGUAAGGAAAGCUUUAUUUUACUCUGGCUGCUCUCUUUAUCUUCCUUUUCCUGUUUUAUUUUUUUCAUUGACUGGAAAAGAUUUAUUUCCCUGCUUGAUGUGAUUAAACGUUUUGCCAAAUUGAUGCAUGAGAACCAGUUUCUAUGAGAACUCUCUUCUGGAGAUGUAUAUCCAUGUAACUCUGUAAUUCUUCCCAUAUCUGACUGUUUGUUUCCAAUCUUUUGACUGCUUUCUUGCUUUUUAUGCCUUUAUCUUUGCUUAUUUGAAUUAGGUACUUCUCUGCUACCUUUCACCUGCUCUUUUUCUGUGCCAUUGUUUCCCUUGCUACCUCACCUAAAACCAGGCCCUAGAGAAACAGAAAGAAUACAUUGCCUGCCUUAGGAAUGAGCGAGAUAUGCUCAGAGAGGAGCUGGCUGACCUGCAGGAGACAGUGAAGACGGGAGAGAAACAUGGCUUAGUUAUAAUCCCCGAUGGCACUCCCAAUGGUGAUGUCAGUCAUGAACCACUGGCUGGAGCCAUCACUGUUGUGUCUCAGGAAGCUGCUCAGGUCUUGGAGUCAGCAGGAGAAGGGCCAUUAGAUGUAAGGCUACGAAAACUCGCUGGAGAGAAGGAAGAACUACUGUCACAG
This 642-nucleotide small RNA is filed under the name Pongo abelii (Sumatran orangutan). Its description in RNAcentral is "retained intron". The record is from RNAcentral. Lineage: Eukaryota; Metazoa; Chordata; Mammalia; Primates; Hominidae.